UUUACUUUGAACAGAUAAGUGUGAAGAACAAUCAGGCAUAUACAUUCUGUUGAAGCUGAUAGUUGUGAUAAUGUCUUCACCUUCAUCAAUUGACAAGGAGUGGGAAGAAUGGAAGACUGAAUUUGAAAGGAACUAUAAAAGCCCUGAAGAAGAAGCAUAUCGACGAGGGAUUUGG
Molecule: long non-coding RNA, 175 nt
Organism: Protopterus annectens (West African lungfish)
Lineage: Eukaryota; Metazoa; Chordata; Ceratodontiformes; Protopteridae
Exons: 2
Source: RefSeq, a predicted model, not a curated record